UACGUAGGGUGCGAGCGUUAAUCGGAAUUACUGGGCGUAAAGUGUGCGCAGGCGGCCGAGCAAGUCGAGUGUGAAAGCCCCGAGCUUAACUUGGGAAUUGCGCUCGAAACUACUUGGCUGGAGUGUGGCAGAGGAAGGUGGAAUUCCAGGUGUAGCGGUGAAAUGCGUAGAGAUCUGGAGGAACACCGAUGGCGAAGGCAGCUCGCUGGAACGGUACUGACGCUGAGGCGCGAAAGCGUGGGGAGCGAACAGG
This 253-nucleotide ribosomal RNA is filed under the name uncultured bacterium. Its description in RNAcentral is "partial 16S ribosomal RNA". It matches the Rfam family "Bacterial small subunit ribosomal RNA", at positions 524 to 776 of the family's 1533-position model. The record is from RNAcentral.